CUACGGGGGGCUGCAGUGGGGAAUAUUGCACAAUGGAGGAAACUCUGAUGCAGCAACGCCGCGUGGAGGAUGACACUUUUCGGAGCGUAAACUCCUUUUAUAUAGGAAGAAGAUGACGGUACUAUAUGAAUAAGCGCCGGCUAACUCCGUGCCAGCAGCCGCGGUAAUACGGAGGGCGCAAGCGUUACUCGAAAUCACUGGGCGUAAAGAGCGUGUAGGCGGAUUAAAAAGUCAGAAGUGAAAUCCUAUAGCUUAACUAUAGAACUGCUUCUGAAACUCCUAAUCUAGAAUAUGGGAGAGGUAGAUGGAAUUUCUGGUGUAGGGGUAAGAUCCGUAGAGAUCAGAAGGAAUACCGAUUGCGAAGGCGAUCUACUAGAACAUUAUUGACGCUGAGACGCGAAAGCGUGGGGAGCAAACAGGAUUAGAUACCCUCGUAGUC
This 439-nucleotide ribosomal RNA is filed under the name uncultured bacterium. Its description in RNAcentral is "partial 16S ribosomal RNA". It matches the Rfam family "Bacterial small subunit ribosomal RNA", at positions 339 to 795 of the family's 1533-position model. The record is from RNAcentral.